Molecule: ribosomal RNA, 253 nt
Filed under: uncultured bacterium
Lineage: Bacteria
Description: partial 16S ribosomal RNA
Rfam family: Bacterial small subunit ribosomal RNA
Source: RNAcentral
UACGGGGGGGGCAAGCGUUGUUCGGAAUUACUGGGCGUAAAGGGCUCGUAGGUGGCCAACUAAGUCAGACGUGAAAUCCCUCAGCUUAACUGGGGGACUGCGUCUGAUACUGGAUGGCUUGAGUUUGGGAGAGGGAUGCGGAAUUCCAGGUGUAGCGGUGAAAUGCGUAGAUAUCUGGAGGAACACCGGUGGCGAAGGCGGCAUCCUGGACCGACACUGACACUGAGGAGCGAAAGCCAGGGGAGCAAACGGG